Cebus imitator (Panamanian white-faced capuchin) is the source of this 104-nucleotide small nuclear RNA. The record is from RefSeq and is a predicted model, not a curated record. Lineage: Eukaryota; Metazoa; Chordata; Mammalia; Primates; Cebidae.
AUGCUCGCUUCAGCAGCACAUGCACUAAAAUUGGAAUGAUACAGAGAUUAGCGAGGCCCCUGAGCAAGGAUGACACACACAUUUGUGAAGUGUUCCAUAAAAAA